This 484-nucleotide ribosomal RNA is filed under the name uncultured bacterium. RNAcentral's name for it is "partial 16S ribosomal RNA". It matches the Rfam family "Bacterial small subunit ribosomal RNA", at positions 28 to 507 of the family's 1533-position model. The record is from RNAcentral.
AUUGAACGCUGGCGGCAUGCUUUACACAUGCAAGUCGAACGGCAGCGCGGGCUUCGGCCUGGCGGCGAGUGGCGAACGGGUGAGUAAUGCAUCGGAACGUGCCCAGUAGUGGGGGAUAGCCCGGCGAAAGCCGGAUUAAUACCGCAUACGACCUGAGGGUGAAAGCGGGGGACCGAAAGGCCUCGCGCUAUUGGAGCGGCCGAUGUCGGAUUAGCUAGUUGGUGGGGUAAAGGCUUACCAAGGCGACGAUCCGUAGCUGGUCUGAGAGGACGACCAGCCACACUGGGACUGGGACACGGCCCAGACUCCUACGGGAGGCAGCAGUGGGGAAUUUUGGACAAUGGGGGCAACCCUGAUCCAGCCAUGCCGCGUGCGGGAAGAAGGCCUUCGGGUUGUAAACCGCUUUUGUUCGGGAAGAAAUCCUCUGGGCUAAUACCCCGGGGGGAUGGCGGUACCGGAAGAAUAAGCACCGGCUAACUACGUG